RNAcentral lists this ribosomal RNA (830 nucleotides) under Pterygodermatites nycticebi. RNAcentral's name for it is "SSU rRNA". It matches the Rfam family "Eukaryotic small subunit ribosomal RNA", at positions 134 to 969 of the family's 1831-position model. Lineage: Eukaryota; Metazoa; Nematoda; Chromadorea; Rhabditida; Rictulariidae. The record is from RNAcentral.
CCAACGUGGAUAACUGUGGUAAUUCUAGAGCUAAUACAUGCACCAAAGCUCCGACUUUUUGACGAGCGCAUCUAUUAGAUUAAAACCAAUCGGGCCUUUGGUCCGUCAAUUGGUGACUCUGAAUAGCUAUGGCUGAUCGCAUGGUCACGUACCGGCGACGUAUCUAUCAAGUGUCUGCCUUAUCAACUUUCGAUGGUAGUUUAUGUGCCUACCAUGGUUGUAACGGGUAACGGAGAAUAAGGGUUCGACUCCGGAGAGGGAGCCUGAGAAACGGCUACCACAUCCAAGGAAGGCAGCAGGCGCGCAAAUUACCCACUCUCGGCAUGAGGAGGUAGUGACGAAAAAUAACGAGACCGUUCUCUUUGAGGCCGGUUAUCGGAAUGGGUACAAUUUAAACCCGUUAACGAGGAACUAUGAGAGGGCAAGUCUGGUGCCAGCAGCCGCGGUAAUUCCAGCUCUCAAAGUGUAUAUCGUCAUUGCUGCGGUUAAAAAGCUCGUAGUUGGAUCUGCGCCUCAGGACCCGGUCCGCCCAUUGGACGAGAACUGGGCUCCUGGGCUAGUACUGCCGGUUUUCCCUGCGUUACCUUUACCGGUUGCGUAGGGUGGCCAGCGAGUUUACCUUGAAAAAAUUAGAGUGCUCAAUGCGGGCUAAUGCCUGAAUACUCGUGCAUGGAAUAAUGAAAUAGGAUCUCGGUUCUAUUUUGUUGGUUUUCUGAUCUGAGAUAAUGGUUAAGAGGGACGGACGGGGGCAUUCGUAUCGCUGCGUGAGAGGUGAAAUUCUUGGACCGUAGCGAGACGCCCGACUGCGAAAGCAUUUGCCAAGAAUGUCU